This is an RNA transcript of Chenopodium quinoa (quinoa), 2758 nucleotides long. It is a transcript of the gene named pentatricopeptide repeat-containing protein At1g62350-like, with no coding region annotated. The transcript is spliced from 3 exons. The record is from RefSeq and is a predicted model, not a curated record. Lineage: Eukaryota; Viridiplantae; Streptophyta; Magnoliopsida; Caryophyllales; Amaranthaceae.
AAAGAAAAGAAAAUCAUGAGCGUAAUUUGAUUAUUGAAUCAAAUAUCCCUAAAAUUAUGAGAUAAUUGAAUAUGAAAUUAAAACUCUUUUCCCUGGGCCUAGGGCGGCCGCACCUCCUGCCCUGCCUCAGGGACGGGCCUGACAACUUAUUAUGUACAAUUUCAUCUCUCUCAACUCAUUUUCCGCGGGAAAGUUUAGUUCAGAGUGAUAAUAUAGAUGCCCAAAUUGUAUCAUUAUGCAAAAAAGACCAAUCUUUUGCAGCAGCAGCUGCAUUAUUUGACAAUGCCUUCAAUUCAGGGACAACCCCUUCUGCCCAAACAUGUAAUUUCCUCGUUAAUGAGCUUAGGGAUGCAGGGGAGCAUAAAUUAGCAUAUUCGGUGUAUAAGAAAAUGACCCAUGUUGGUGUUCAGCCAUUGUUCUAUUCACUGUCUGCCCUGGUUGAGUAUUUGGUGAGAUCGCCCGAGCCUGCUUACGCUUUAGGGGCUGUUGGGUUGUUAUGGAAGCGUGGUUUUGGGGUCAAAGUAUACCUCAUGAAUAUUGUACUGAAGGGUUUGUGUCGAAAUGGGGAAAUAGAUAGAGCAAUGCAGGUUUUGCAAGAAAUGUACAACAACUCUAUAAUGCCUGAUGUUAUUAGCUACAAUACAGUAACCAAUGCUCUUUGUAAGGCAAAGAGGGUGGUGGAUGCGUCGAAUUUGAUGGAUCAAAUGAAGAGAGCUGGUUGCUGUCCUGAUUUGACGUCGUAUACUAUUAUUUUAGAUGGCUUGUGUAAAAUGGGUAAGGUGGAAGAUGCGAUGGGAUUGAUGGAAGAGAUGAAGGAAAACAAUUUUGAUGUGGAUGUUGUUGCUUAUAGUGCUCUCAUCAAAGGUUUUUGCAUGCAAGGAAAUGCUGAUAAAGUUGAAGAGCUCUUUCAUGAAAUGUUGGAAAGGGGAGUGACUCCAAAUGUAGUCUCUUAUUCGUGUGUAUUGCAUUUUUUUUCCACAGUGGGCCGGUGGGAAAAAGUUACAGCAAUGGUAAAAGAUAUGACGAGAAGGGGGAUACAUCCUGAUGCAACUACAUAUUCAGGUCUAAUUGAUGGACUCUGCAGAAAUCAGAAGACUACAAAAGCUAUUGCCAUGUUGAAGUUGAUGCUAGAGAAGGGUGAAGAACCACUUGCUGCAACAUACAAUAAUGUGAUCAGUGCUCUUUGCAAAGAUCGUUUGGUAUCCGAGUCUUUUGAUGUAUUGAAAAUGAUGAUGGAUAAGGGGAAGAAGCCCGACUUGUUUACAUACACUACAUUGCUCAAAAGUCUUCUUGAAAUUGGUAAAGUUGAUGAUGCGAUAAUGAUUUUUAAUUCAGUAUUUGAAGAUGAAGCUUAUGUUCAGCCAGAUGCUAUGGCAUUCAAUACAAUGAUCAUAGGGCUUUGCAAGGAAGGUUGCCUUAGUAAGGCUGAAGAAUUUUACCGUAAGAUGGUUGUAGCAGGAAUCUGUGGGGAUGAGGUCACUUAUAGCACACUCAUUGGGGUGUAUCUGAAGGCAGGAAAUGUUUAUGAAUGUCUGGAGAUAUGGAAAAACAUGCUGAGGGAGAGAAUACUUCCAACUUCAUACACAUAUGGCAUUUUGAUCGAUGGUUUCUGCAAGUUGCGUAUGAUUAACAUUGCAAAAGGUCUUUUAUUGAAAUUGAAAGACUUUGGUCUUAGUCCCCGAAGUGUGGACUAUAAUACGUUGAUGACAGCAUUGUGUAAAGAAGGUAGUGUGGAUCAGGCAAGGAUGUUAUUCAAAAAUAUGAAGGAAACAAACUGUGAACCAUGUAUUAUCUCAUUUAUGGUGAUGAUUCAAGGAGCCCUUAUAUCUGGUGAUUUCCAUUAUGGCAAAACCCUACUCACCGAUAUGCUUCAAAGGGGUUUGGCUCCUGAUGCUAUUUUGUUUUCCACGCUAAUUGGGAGGUUCUCAGACGCCGGACUGAUGGAUGAGGCCAAGCAACUUUUUGAAAGGAUGGUUGCUAAAGGCUUCACACCUACUACUGAUGUUUAUCAGAAUUUGCUUAUGGGGUAUUGUUUAACGGGGGAUAUGAAUGAACUUAUUAAUUUGCUUCAUCAAAUGGCAGCUGAUAAUCUUGAGCUAAACUCAGAGAUGAGAGCAACAAUCUUGACAUGUCUCUGUCAUUGUACUGAUUUGAAUAUGGUGGAUCUUCUUCCGACAUUCUCUCAAGAAGCUCUAAAAGAAGAUGGCAUCCCUUGCAAUGAUUUUCUUGAAAAUCUUCACAAGUUCCAUUCUAAAAUCCCAAAUCUUGCUUCUUAAUGCCCUUCCAGGAAAAAAAUUUAGCUUGUAUGAUGGCUAGUAAGUCCAUUCUCUUAUUCUGUCAUGUUUAUUUUUGAUUUCAAUAAACCUCUUUGUAUCUAUGGUUCUCUCUUUUUGUAUACAGUUGUCUGCCUUGGCUGCGGAUACAAAUAGAACUCACCUUAAAUCUGAUCUUGUUUCUGUUCUUGCUGAAUUUCAACGCCAAGAUCAAGUUUUUCUCUCAAUGAAAGUGGGAUUCACUAGGGUAUUACUAGGAUAGUGCCCAAUUACCUACUGACCAGGGGAGCGGGGAGCCUGGCCAUUUGCUAUAGCCACUCCUGCAAGCUGCUGUCAGAUUUCAGGUGUAAUGGUUAUGACUUGUAAGGGUUCUCAUUAUGAUUUAUCCGUAAUCAGUUGUAUGAUGUGGUGCGGAAAGAGAUAUGGUACCGUCCAGACAUGUUCUUCUACAGGGACAUGCUCAUGAUGCUUGCAAGGAACAAAAA